RNAcentral lists this long non-coding RNA (615 nucleotides) under Gossypium barbadense (sea-island cotton). Its description in RNAcentral is "long non-coding RNA (GBAR_LNC012773)". Lineage: Eukaryota; Viridiplantae; Streptophyta; Magnoliopsida; Malvales; Malvaceae. The record is from RNAcentral.
CAAAAUCAAAAAUAAGAAAAAACAAAACCCUAAACUAGCUGCUGCCGCCUCUGACCCCUGUCCCAUCACCCCAUGCCGGUCAGUCACCCACUUCACCGCCCAAGCUACACCUGCAAGCAUUAAACAGAAAAGACAGAAGCAAGAAAAGAUAAUGUUGUAUUCGGCUAUAUAUAGCCAAACAGAAUGUAAAGAAAGGGAUUUUAUUUUUUUUGGAAUGAAAAAGUUUUAAAAAAAUACAAAACAAAAAAACGAGAAUAGUAGAUAGAGCAUAGACCGAGAAUCAAACAAAAAUAUCAAAAACAAAAUAAGGAAAUUAGAUCAAGAAUCGGGUUACAAAGGUCUAUUUAUCUUAUUUCUUUUUUCGAACUUGCUUGCAUAUAUUAUUUUUACUCUAAUAAAAACAAUACAUAUAUACAUAUUAGAUAAAUAAAUAAUAAAUAAUAAUAAAUGAGAGAAAAAAAUUACCUCCAGGCAAUUUCCGGCCACUGUGUACGGUGGCCGGCACGGCGGACUACAUGACAGCGACCGGUCUGCUACUUGCCGGAUUCUGGGUUGGCAGAAAGAAAAGGGAGAGAGGGUUGAAGGGCCUUUUUCAGUUUUUUUUUUAUUUUGAAG